CGCAGGCGCAGUGGGCCACGCGGGAGUCGCAGACCCUUGGCGCGAUAGCCAGGGCAAGUCCCGGCUUCCAGAAAAAAGAUCUUAUCUGCUGUGUGGAGAAUGGAUUGGAAAAGGAAGGAGACACUAUACAUCAGUAAACAGUUGAGAAGCCCAGAGGGCUUUCACAUCAGCCCCUGGGACCAAUCAAGCACUGAUCAACUCAGAUAUCUGGAUAGAUACCUAGCUGGGUAAAAGAAGACGCUCCUAGAAGGAGCUGACACUGGAUAACAACAUGGAAAGGAAUCCUCAGGAGAGCAGGAAAGGUCUCACCCACAAAGCAGUCCCCCGGGUUGUUGGCCUGCUGCUCGCCGUGGCCCUCAUGAAUGUGCUUCUUUACCUCUGCCUCAACCAAUUUUUCAUUUUCCCUCAACGAUCUACUGAGGAUCCCAGGUCAUGUCCUUAUGGUUACUUCAGAAUGGGACAGAUGAAAGACUGCUCACCUUGGCUAUCCUGUGAGGAGCUGAGGACAGAAGUAAGGCAGUUAAAGUGCAUUGGGGAAGGAGCUGUGAAGAGAGUAAGU
Molecule: long non-coding RNA, 559 nt
Organism: Dipodomys ordii (Ord's kangaroo rat)
Lineage: Eukaryota; Metazoa; Chordata; Mammalia; Rodentia; Heteromyidae
Exons: 4
Source: RefSeq, a predicted model, not a curated record